CUACUGGACCUGCUUGAGAGAGAGGGAUUCAUGGGAGGAAAUUAUUUCCUAAAUGCAGAUUCCUGGCUGAGAGGAAUAAAGAGUAAUUGAAUAUAGGCAGUUUCUAGACAUUAUGCUCACAAGAGAAGUAAGAACAGAAGAAACCACUCAAGUCUUGCUGAGGAAAUUACAGGAAUUUUAGAAGAUGGUUUCUGCCUGGAUUAAAAGACAGUAUUGAAUCUCUGCUUGUUUUGCUUAUAAAAAGUGAAGUUGCCUGUACCAAUAUUCCAGGAAGAAAACGACAGAGGAAUAACAAGGAUUUUGGUUGCUUGUUUUUUUUUUCCUGAUUUCAUUUUGCCUGCUUAUUAGCCUUCAGAGACUACAAAAGAACAGAAAGUUAUUUUUCUGGUUUUUAGUAUUUUUGAAUAUGUUUUACACUCUGAAUAAACUUUUUAGACGAGAUAUAGGACUUCAUUAUGAUCAUUCUUGGAAAAGCUAUUUUUUUUUUUAGUUUGCCUCCAAUUUUUUUUUCAGGUACAAAGAGAUGUUUUCCAGUCAGAGCUUAUUACUGUAACAAUAUUGCAGUAUUAUUUCUGGCUUUAAAAGAAAUACAGUGUUCAUGUCACUUCAUGAGAUACCAUUGAGGAAUGUAGAGGAAGUUUUAUUUUUUAGCAUUGUGUAACUUAGUUUUGAUUUUGAAUCUUUAAACCACAGACACACCUAUAGAACCAGCUUUAUACUGCAAAUCCAAAUGUGAAAGAUGUCUUGGAAGAGAAAUUAUUUUUCUGUGGGACAGGGUGGUGUGCAAGGCAUGUUUACUCCACGAAAUACAACAUCUAUAGCACCAAGUAAAGGCCUCAGCAAUGAGCCAGGACAAAACAGCUGCUUCCUGAAUAGUGCACUACAGGUGCUCUGGCAUCUUGAUAUUUUUCGACGCAGUUUUCGACAACUUACAACACACAAAUGCAUGGGAGAUUCCUGUAUAUUUUGUGCCCUCAAAGUAAGUGAUAGAAUGAAUUCAAGGAGAGUCAACAAAUAUAUAU
This is a non-coding RNA of Pseudonaja textilis, 1022 nucleotides long. The record is from RefSeq and is a predicted model, not a curated record. Lineage: Eukaryota; Metazoa; Chordata; Lepidosauria; Squamata; Elapidae.